CAGGAGGUGUAGGUGGGGAGCUACCGGUUCCCUGUAGCACAAACCCGGUUUAUGGUGCACCGAAAGCCUUAGGACGGUAUGGGCUUCGUAAGCUAUUCCAAAUUCCCAACUGAGAAGCUUCGUCUUGUAGGGUUGGCUGCCUAUUGAACAUGGUGAGGCGAGGAAUCGAGCAACCAUAAGAUAGUUAUGCCAAUGCUUACAAACCAACGGAGUGGAGAAGGGAGUUUGGGUAUAAUAGUUUAUGGGUUUAUGCCAACCUUUGGUGACCUCCUG
This 273-nucleotide signal recognition particle RNA is filed under the name Candidatus Aenigmatarchaeota archaeon. RNAcentral's name for it is "signal recognition particle sRNA". It matches the Rfam family "Archaeal signal recognition particle RNA". Lineage: Archaea; Nanobdellati; Candidatus Aenigmatarchaeota. The record is from RNAcentral.